UUGCUUUGGCAGUACAUAUACUAAAUUUGGAAUGAUACGAGAAGAUUAGCAUGGCCCCUGUGCAAGGAUGACACACAAAUUGUUUCAUAUAAAAAAAAAAGCA
This is a small nuclear RNA of Vombatus ursinus (common wombat), 103 nucleotides long. The record is from Ensembl. NCBI's taxonomy places the organism in Eukaryota, Metazoa, Chordata, Mammalia, Diprotodontia, Vombatidae.